This 526-nucleotide ribosomal RNA is filed under the name uncultured bacterium. Its description in RNAcentral is "partial 16S ribosomal RNA". It matches the Rfam family "Bacterial small subunit ribosomal RNA", at positions 355 to 873 of the family's 1533-position model. The record is from RNAcentral.
UGGGGAAUAUUGCACAAUGGGCGCAAGCCUGAUGCAGCCAUGCCGCGUGUGUGAAGAAGGCCUUCGGGUUGUAAAGCACUUUCAGCGAGGAGGAAGGUGGUGAGCUUAAUACGCUCAUCAAUUGACGUUACUCGCAGAAGAAGCACCGGCUAACUCCGUGCCAGCAGCCGCGGUAAUACGGAGGGUGCAAGCGUUAAUCGGAAUUACUGGGCGUAAAGCGCACGCAGGCGGUUUGUUAAGUCAGAUGUGAAAUCCCCGGGCUCAACCUGGGAACUGCAUUUGAAACUGGCAAGCUAGAGUCUCGUAGAGGGGGGUAGAAUUCCAGGUGUAGCGGUGAAAUGCGUAGAGAUCUGGAGGAAUACCGGUGGCGAAGGCGGCCCCCUGGACGAAGACUGACGCUCAGGUGCGAAAGCGUGGGGAGCAAACAGAUUAGAUACCCUGGUAGUCCACGCUGUAAACGAUGUCGAUUUUGGAGGUUGUGCCCUUGAGGCGUGGCUUCCGGAGCUAACGCGUUAAAUCGACCGCC